UGAGGAACAUGACCUUCGGCGGGGGAUAGCCGGCCCAACGGCCGGGUAAUACCGCGUACGACCACAUGGGGACAUCCCUGAGUGGUGAAAGCAGCAAUGCGCCGAUGGAGUGCCUCGCGGCCUAUCAGCUAGUUGGUGAGGUAACGGCUCACCAAGGCGACGACGGGUAGCUGGUCUGAGAGGAUGGCCAGCCACAUUGGGACUGAGACACGGCCCAGACCUCUACGGGGAGG
Molecule: ribosomal RNA, 233 nt
Filed under: uncultured bacterium
Lineage: Bacteria
Description: partial 16S ribosomal RNA
Rfam family: Bacterial small subunit ribosomal RNA
Source: RNAcentral